AACGCACCUUGCGCCCUUUGGUAUUCCGAAGGGCAUGCCUGUUUGAGUGUCAUGUAGACUCAACCCCUCGGGUUUCCGAGAUGGUUGGAUUUGGGCGCUGCCUACCCGGCUCGCCUUAAAGGUCUUAGCGGAAUAGCACCGAUGUCGGCGUAAUAAGUUUCGUCGACAGACAAGUGUGAUGUCUGCUCAUAAUCGCCCUCGGGCAUCUUUUGACUCUGACCUCAAAUCAGGUAGGACUACCCGCUGAACUUAA
This 253-nucleotide unclassified non-coding RNA is filed under the name uncultured fungus. RNAcentral's name for it is "sequence contains ITS2". The stretch from base 1 to 52 matches the Rfam family "5.8S ribosomal RNA", at positions 103 to 154 of the family's 154-position model. Lineage: Eukaryota; Fungi. The record is from RNAcentral.